AUGGGCGAAAGCCUGAUGCAGCGACGCCGCGUGAGGGAUGACGGCCUUCGGGUUGUAAACCUCUUUCACCAGGGACGAAGCUAACGUGACGGUACCUGGAGAAGAAGCACCGGCUAACUACGUGCCAGCAGCCGCGGUAAUACGUAGGGUGCGAGCGUUGUCCGGAAUUAUUGGGCGUAAAGAGCUUGUAGGCGGUUUGUCGCGUCUGCUGUGAAAGACCGGGGCUUAACUCCGGUUCUGCAGUGGGUACGGGCAGACUAGAGUAUGGUAGGGGAGACUGGAAUUCCUGGUGUAGCGGUGAAAUGCGCAGAUAUCAGGAGGAACACCGAUGGCGAAGGCAGGUCUCUGGGCCAUUACUGACGCUGAGAAGCGAAAGCAUGGGGAGCGAACAGGAUUAGAUACCCUGGUAGUCCAUGCCGUAAACGUUGGGCGCUAGGUGUGGGGCUCAUUCCACGAGUUCCGUGCCGCAGCUAACGCAUUAAGCGCCCCGCCUGGGGAGUACGGCCGCAAGGCUAAAACUCAAAGGAAUUGACGGGGGCCCGCACAAGCGGCGGAGCAUGCGGAUUAAUUCGAUGCAACGCGAAGAACCUUACCAAGGCUUGACAUACACCGGAAUCAUGCAGAGAUGUGUGCGUCUUCGGACUGGUGUACAGGUGGUGCAUGGUUGUCGUCAGCUCGUGUCGUGAGAUGUUGGGUUAAGUCCCGCAACGAGCGCAACCCUCGUUCCAUGUUGCCAGCACGUAAGGGUGGGGACUCAUGGGAGACUGCCGGGGUCAACUCGGAGGAAGGUGGGGAUGACGUCAAAUCAUCAUGCCCCUUAUGUCUUGGGCUUCACGCAUGCUACAAUGGCCGGUACAGAGGGUUGCGAAACUGUGAGGUGGAGCUAAUCCCAAAAAACCGGUCUCAGUUCGGAUUGGGGUCUGCAACUCGACCCCAUGAAGUCGGAGUCGCUAGUAAUCGCAGAUCAGCAACGCUGCGGUGAAUACGUUCCCGGGCCUUGUACACACCGCCCGUCAAGUCACGAAAGUUGGUAACACCCGAAGCCGGUGGCCUAACCC
This 1058-nucleotide ribosomal RNA is filed under the name Dermacoccus sp. OTB119. RNAcentral describes it as "bacterial SSU rRNA". It matches the Rfam family "Bacterial small subunit ribosomal RNA", at positions 371 to 1441 of the family's 1533-position model. The record is from RNAcentral. Lineage: Bacteria; Bacillati; Actinomycetota; Actinomycetes; Micrococcales; Dermacoccaceae.